UUUUAUUUAUUUUCUUAUUCUUAUAAUAAAAUGAAAAACAAAAACAAAAAUAAACCCACCACACACACUCUCACACUCUCUCUCGGGUGUUAUCUCUUUCUUUUCCAAAAUUAAGAGAACACAUACACACACAUAUACACUCAAAACGUACACACACACACACUCAAAUUAUCCCACGCUUCCUUCUUCUCCUUUGCUCAAUGCAAAUGUUAAUUAGAAGAAAUAUAGACGAGGAAAAUUGUUGUAGGUCAAGAUCAAAAAUUGGUCCCAUCUUCUUCCAUUUUUUCUCGAGCUGCAGGUUUCCAAAGGAAAUAACAGCAAGUCUACGAUGGUGAUCUAUCGCCUCUUUUCUACUUCUCUUUUGAAUUGAGCCCUUCUUCCACAGACCUUACCCCCUUAUUUCCCUUAGCCACCACCAUUAGUCCAUCAUACCAUCUCCAACCUAUUUGUUUAUGACCACCCUGUCAUGCUUGUUCAUCGAUGUCGUCGGUGCUUGUUUAUCAUACGACACAGACAAUUUCAGAAAUCGAUAUCAAGUGUCUCUAGUUGUAGUUUUUGACUUAACACUCACAGACACAUACACACACACACACACUAUCGUCACUUGCCAACCCUAACAAAACCCACCUGAAAAUUAGAAAAGUAAUCAUUAAUUAGCAGUAAGAGGGUGUUUGGAUAAAUGCAUUUUUAGCUUAAUUAGCUUAUUACUUAUUGCUUAUUGUGGUGGGAAUAAGCAUUUUUUUAAAAUGUGUUUGGAUUAGUUUAUUGCGGUGGGAAUAAACAAUAAGCAAUAAGCAUUUGAAGUGUUUGGCAAACAAGACAACUUAUAUGAGUAAAAUGACUAAUAAGCAAUAAGCAAUAAGCAAUAAGCAUUACCCCCCUUGCUUAUUAAAAUCAGCUUAUUUAGCUUAUUCCCACCGCAAUAAGCUAAUUUUUUAAGCAUCCUAUCCAAACACUUAAAUUAGCUUAUUGUGGUGAAAAUAAGCAAUAAGCAAUAAGCUGUCAUUUUUUUCCCUAUCCAAACACCCUCUAAGUAUCGAGCAUUUUGUAUUCAGAAAAGAAAUAAUCGACCCACAUAUUGUUCACAAAUUCAUGGUAAUCGAGAAUCAAAGGCACCAACCAUAAAUGUCUUGUCUCAUCUGCAAGUUUCAACAAAAUCACCAUUGUUGCAAGUUGGUGUUCUCCAUUUGGUAAUGUUUUAAACUCACUCGGGUUAAUUACAAAUCAGGACAUGGAGAACCCAUAAUAGCUUGAAUAGACAAGGGUAAAUGUGUUAUGGGUGUUUAUGGAUUCAAAAUUUUACAGAAAUUCGAGAAACUAGGGUUUGGAUUGUGAUUGUAGGACUGUUUCCGGUGGUGGCAAGGAUGCACCGGUGACGACUAAAGCUCUGCCUUUAAUGGCUGGUGCGAAGGAUAAAGUGUAUGCAAGAUGUUAUGAACUGGGGGGAUCCAUAACCAAAAGGAGAUGAAGUGGCGAUAGUGUUAGGAGGGAUAACAUCAAAGAGAUGGGGAGAACCGGAGAAGAAGAGGUGUAGGGUUG
Molecule: long non-coding RNA, 1539 nt
Filed under: Lactuca sativa (garden lettuce)
Lineage: Eukaryota; Viridiplantae; Streptophyta; Magnoliopsida; Asterales; Asteraceae
Description: long non-coding RNA (LSAT_LNC009827)
Source: RNAcentral